UGGGGAAUAUUGCACAAUGGGGGAAACCCUGAUGCAGCGACGCCGCGUGAGCGAAGAAGGCUUUCGAGUCGUAAAGCUCUGUCCUAUGAGAAGAUAAUGACGGUAUCAUAGGAGGAAGCCCUGGCUAAAUACGUGCCAGCAGCCGCGGUAAUACGUAUGGGGCGAGCGUUGUCCGGAAUUAUUGGGCGUAAAGGGUACGUAGGCGGUUUUUUAAGUCAGGUGUCAAAGCGUGGAGCUUAACUCCAUUAAGCACUUGAAACUGAAAGACUUGAGUGAAGGAGAGGAAAGUGGAAUUCCUAGUGUAGCAGUGAAAUGCGUAGAUAUUAGGAGGAAUACCGGUGGCGAAGGCGACUUUCUGGACUUUUACUGACGCUCAGGUACGAAAGCGUGGGGAGCAAACAG
RNAcentral lists this ribosomal RNA (402 nucleotides) under Verrucomicrobiota bacterium. Its description in RNAcentral is "Verrucomicrobia bacterium partial 16S ribosomal RNA". It matches the Rfam family "Bacterial small subunit ribosomal RNA", at positions 355 to 775 of the family's 1533-position model. The record is from RNAcentral. Lineage: Bacteria; Pseudomonadati; Verrucomicrobiota.